Molecule: ribosomal RNA, 1373 nt
Filed under: Lactiplantibacillus plantarum
Lineage: Bacteria; Bacillati; Bacillota; Bacilli; Lactobacillales; Lactobacillaceae
Description: bacterial SSU rRNA
Rfam family: Bacterial small subunit ribosomal RNA
Source: RNAcentral
CUCUGGUAUUGAUUGGUGCUUGCAUCAUGAUUUACAUUUGAGUGAGUGGCGAACUGGUGAGUAACACGUGGGAAACCUGCCCAGAAGCGGGGGAUAACACCUGGAAACAGAUGCUAAUACCGCAUAACAACUUGGACCGCAUGGUCCGAGUUUGAAAGAUGGCUUCGGCUAUCACUUUUGGAUGGUCCCGCGGCGUAUUAGCUAGAUGGUGGGGUAACGGCUCACCAUGGCAAUGAUACGUAGCCGACCUGAGAGGGUAAUCGGCCACAUUGGGACUGAGACACGGCCCAAACUCCUACGGGAGGCAGCAGUAGGGAAUCUUCCACAAUGGACGAAAGUCUGAUGGAGCAACGCCGCGUGAGUGAAGAAGGGUUUCGGCUCGUAAAACUCUGUUGUUAAAGAAGAACAUAUCUGAGAGUAACUGUUCAGGUAUUGACGGUAUUUAACCAGAAAGCCACGGCUAACUACGUGCCAGCAGCCGCGGUAAUACGUAGGUGGCAAGCGUUGUCCGGAUUUAUUGGGCGUAAAGCGAGCGCAGGCGGUUUUUUAAGUCUGAUGUGAAAGCCUUCGGCUCAACCGAAGAAGUGCAUCGGAAACUGGGAAACUUGAGUGCAGAAGAGGACAGUGGAACUCCAUGUGUAGCGGUGAAAUGCGUAGAUAUAUGGAAGAACACCAGUGGCGAAGGCGGCUGUCUGGUCUGUAACUGACGCUGAGGCUCGAAAGUAUGGGUAGCAAACAGGAUUAGAUACCCUGGUAGUCCAUACCGUAAACGAUGAAUGCUAAGUGUUGGAGGGUUUCCGCCCUUCAGUGCUGCAGCUAACGCAUUAAGCAUUCCGCCUGGGGAGUACGGCCGCAAGGCUGAAACUCAAAGGAAUUGACGGGGGCCCGCACAAGCGGUGGAGCAUGUGGUUUAAUUCGAAGCUACGCGAAGAACCUUACCAGGUCUUGACAUACUAUGCAAAUCUAAGAGAUUAGACGUUCCCUUCGGGGACAUGGAUACAGGUGGUGCAUGGUUGUCGUCAGCUCGUGUCGUGAGAUGUUGGGUUAAGUCCCGCAACGAGCGCAACCCUUAUUAUCAGUUGCCAGCAUUAAGUUGGGCACUCUGGUGAGACUGCCGGUGACAAACCGGAGGAAGGUGGGGAUGACGUCAAAUCAUCAUGCCCCUUAUGACCUGGGCUACACACGUGCUACAAUGGAUGGUACAACGAGUUGCGAACUCGCGAGAGUAAGCUAAUCUCUUAAAGCCAUUCUCAGUUCGGAUUGUAGGCUGCAACUCGCCUACAUGAAGUCGGAAUCGCUAGUAAUCGCGGAUCAGCAUGCCGCGGUGAAUACGUUCCCGGGCCUUGUACACACCGCCCGUCACACCAUGAGAG